UACGUAGGUGGCAAGCGUUGUCCGGAUUUACUGGGCGUAAAGAGCGCGCAGGCGGUCGUUCAAGUCGCGUGUGAAAGCCCCUGGCUCAACUGGGGAGGGUCACGCGAUACUGUUCGACUUGAAGGCAGGAGAGGGAAGUGGAAUUCCCGGUGUAGUGGUGAAAUGCGUAGAUAUCGGGAGGAACACCAGUGGUGAAGGCGACUUCCUGGCCUGUUCUUGACGCUGAGGCGCGAAAGCUAGGGUAGCAAACGGG
RNAcentral lists this ribosomal RNA (253 nucleotides) under uncultured bacterium. RNAcentral describes it as "partial 16S ribosomal RNA". It matches the Rfam family "Bacterial small subunit ribosomal RNA", at positions 524 to 776 of the family's 1533-position model. The record is from RNAcentral.